Molecule: ribosomal RNA, 1343 nt
Filed under: uncultured bacterium
Lineage: Bacteria
Description: 16S ribosomal RNA
Rfam family: Bacterial small subunit ribosomal RNA
Source: RNAcentral
GACGAACGCUGGCGGCGUGCUUAACACAUGCAAGUCGAACGGAAAGGCCCUGCUUUUGUGGGGUGCUCGAGUGGCGAACGGGUGAGUAACACGUGAGUAACCUGCCCUUGACUUUGGGAUAACUACAGGAAACUGGGGCUAAUACCGGAUAGGAGCUCCUGCUGCAUGGUGGGGGUUGGAAAGUUUCGGCGGUUGGGGAUGGACUCGCGGCUUAUCAGCUUGUUGGUGGGGUAGUGGCUUACCAAGGCUUUGACGGGUAGCCGGCCUGAGAGGGUGACCGGCCACAUUGGGACUGAGAUACGGCCCAGACUCCUACGGGAGGCAGCAGUGGGGAAUAUUGCACAAUGGGCGGAAGCCUGAUGCAGCAACGCCGCGUGCGGGAUGACGGCCUUCGGGUUGUAAACCGCUUUCGCCUGUGACGAAGCGUGAGUGACGGUAAUGGGUAAAGAAGCACCGGCUAACCACGUGCCAGCAGCCGCGGUGAUACGUAGGGUGCGAGCGUUGUCCGGAUUUAUUGGGCGUAAAGGGCUCGUAGGUGGUUGAUCGCGUCGGAAGUGUAAUCUUGGGGCUUAACCCUGAGCGUGCUUUCGAUACGGGUUGACUUGAGGAGGGUAGGGGAGAAUGGAAUUCCUGGUGGAGCGGUGGAAUGCGCAGAUAUCAGGAGGAACACCAGUGGCGAAGGCGGUUCUCUGGGCCUUUCCUGACGCUGAGGAGCGAAAGCGUGGGGAGCGAACAGGCUUAGAUACCCUGGUAGUCCACGCUGUAAACGGUGGGUACUAGGUGUGGGGUCCAUUCCACGGGUUCCGUGCCGUAGCUAACGCUUUAAGUACCCCGCCUGGGGAGUACGGCCGCAAGGCUAAAACUCAAAGGAAUUGACGGGGCCCCGCACAAGCGGCGGAGCAUGCGGAUUAAUUCGAUGCAACGCGUAGAACCUUACCUGGGUUUGACAUGGAUCGGGAGUGCUCAGAGAUGGGUGUGCCUCUUUUGGGGUCGGUUCACAGGUGGUGCAUGGCUGUCGUCAGCUCGUGUCGUGAGAUGUUGGGUUAAGUCCCGCAACGAGCGCAACCCUUGUUCACUGUUGCCAGCACGUUAUGGUGGGGACUCAGUGGAGACCGCCGGGGUCAACUCGGAGGAAGGUGGGGAUGACGUCAAGUCAUCAUGCCCCUUAUGUCCAGGGCUUCACGCAUGCUACAAUGGCUGGUACAGAGAGUGGCGAGCCUGUGAGGGUGAGCGAAUCUCGGAAAGCCGGUCUCAGUUCGGAUUGGGGUCUGCAACUCGACCUCAUGAAGUCGGAGUCGCUAGUAAUCGCAGAUCAGCAACGCUGCGGUGAAUACGUUCCCGGG